GCCUACGGGAGGCAGCAGUGAGGAAUAUUGGUCAAUGGUCGGGAGACUGAACCAGCCAAGCCGCGUGAGGGAGGAAGGUACAGAGUAUCGUAAACCUCUUUUGUCAGGGAACAAAGGCGGGGACGUGUCCCCGGAUGAGUGUACCUGAAGAAAAAGCAUCAGCUAACUCCGUGCCAGCAGCCGCGGUAAUACGGAGGAUGCGAGCGUUAUCCGGAUUUAUUGGGUUUAAAGGGUGCGCAGGCGGUCUGUUAAGUCAGCGGUCAAAGCCCGGGGCUCAACCCCGGCCCGCCGUUGAAACUGGCAGG
This 305-nucleotide ribosomal RNA is filed under the name uncultured bacterium. RNAcentral's name for it is "bacterial SSU rRNA". It matches the Rfam family "Bacterial small subunit ribosomal RNA", at positions 337 to 640 of the family's 1533-position model. The record is from RNAcentral.